RNAcentral lists this ribosomal RNA (221 nucleotides) under uncultured bacterium. Its description in RNAcentral is "partial 16S ribosomal RNA". It matches the Rfam family "Bacterial small subunit ribosomal RNA", at positions 129 to 334 of the family's 1533-position model. The record is from RNAcentral.
CCCUUCAGAGGGGGACAACAGUUGGAAACGACUGCUAAUACCGCAUACGAUCCAAUCUCGGCAUCGAGACUGGAUGAAAGGUGGCCUCUAUUUAUAAGCUAUCACUGAAGGAGGGGAUUGCGUCUGAUUAGCUAGUUGGAGGGGUAACGGCCCACCAAGGCGAUGAUCAGUAGCCGGUCUGAGAGGAUGAACGGCCACAUUGGGGCUGAGACACGGCCCAG